This 423-nucleotide ribosomal RNA is filed under the name Triticum aestivum (bread wheat). Its description in RNAcentral is "partial small subunit ribosomal RNA". The record is from RNAcentral. Lineage: Eukaryota; Viridiplantae; Streptophyta; Magnoliopsida; Poales; Poaceae.
AUGCAAGAGAAGAAAGUUGUUGCUUAUACCUCUCGCCAGUUGAAACCUAAUGAGAAGAACUACCCCACUCAUGAUCUCGAGUUGGCGGCAGUUGUGCACGCUUUGUUGACUUGGAGACAUCUUCUAUUGGGAAGGAAAGUGGACAUUUUCACUGAUCACAAGAGUCUCAAGUACAUCUUCACUCAGCCUAAUCUCAACCUCAGGCAGACUCGAUGGGUCGAAAUGAUUCAAGAGUACAAUCCGAGUAUCGAGUAUACUCCAGGCAAGGCUAAUGUGAUUGCUGACGCUUUGAGCAGAAAAGCAUAUUGCAACAGUCUGAUUCUCAAGCCUUAUCAACCCGAGCUUGUGAAGCUUUCCGCAAACUUAAUCUGCAAGUUGUUCCUCAAGGUUUCCUCGCCAACCUUCAAGUCUCUCCUACCUUAG